ACGAACUCGAUGGUGGUCUUCUGGAAAAGCUGAAUGAAACACUGAAUACUGUCAACGGACUACUCGACGAUGCGGAGGAGAAGCAGAUUACAAAGCGUGCUGUGAAGAACUGGCUUAAUGAUGUUAAACAUGCUGUCUAUGAAGCUGAGGACAUAUUGGAGGAGAUUGAUUAUGAAUAUCUACGAUCCAAGGACAUUGAUGCCCCUCGACCUGACAGCAAUUGGGUAAGCAUAGAAGCAGAUUACAAAGCAUAGUUCUUGCUUCCUCAUAAAAUAUUUGUAUUGAUCUCUCUAUUUUUUUUUUUUAACUUUCAUGGAUGCUCGCUAGCCUGUAAAGGAGGAAAAAAUAUUUUUAGGCAUGGUUUUUGUCUUUUGUGAGUUUUAUUAAAAGAGUAUUCAUUGUUAUAUAAGCAACUAAUAUUAUUGGCUUUUGGUGUCUGUGGUGAAAUUAUGCUUGCAAAUUCUCAUUUAUUAACUAGUUUUCUAAACAUGCGCUUUGGAUUUUUAAAAUCUGAAUUAUUUAUAUAAAUAUUGUCAAUCUUAAUUAAAUUAUAUAUUUUUUAUAAGAACAUAAAUAAAUUUUAAUUGUUCUGAAAAAAUAAGGGAUAUAAAACUGAAUUGUCUUUCAAUAUUUUUAGUGAUCACGAAUAAUUAGGACUUACGAGACUCAAAACCCAUUAUUAUAAAUAUUAAAUUUCUUAGUAAUUAUAUAUAUAAUAAUCACCAAGAAUUAUGCACUGAUUUUUUAGUAGCACAAUUGUAAAUUGAAAUGAUAUUUUAAAUAUUAAAAAUAAAUACUUUACUUUUUAAUUGCUAAACAAUUAUUUUUGAAAAUAAAAUCAUUUUUCCAUUUUUAUUUUAGAAAAAAAAUUAAUUUCAAUAUAUAUAUAUAUAUAUAUAUAUAUAUAUAUAUAUAUAUAUAUAUAUAUAUAUAUAUAUAUAUAUAUGAUAUAGUAAGGGCUAUGAAAAUCACUAGUGGCAUUUAAUCAAUAUCUUUUUAAAACUUGAGUUUUACUGUUUAAUUACAUUAAGUUAGCAUCAACAAUUGUAAAUUCUUGAAAAAGACCUGUAGAAAAAAAAUGUUUACAUUAAGUUAGCAUCAACAAUUUAAUGGCAUUAACUUAUUAAUUCACUAGAUGUAAGAAUCUUAAUGUUUUUGUUUUGAUAUUAUAAAAUUAUAAUGUUUUCCUGAAUUCUAUCUCAUAUAUUUAGUCCACCAUUGCAGGUAAGGAAUCUGGUUCCAUUUCUAAAUCCAGCUAAUGGAAGGAUGAAAGAGAUGGAAGCAGAGUUACAAAAGAUCCUUGAGAAGCUUGAACGUUUACUUAAACAAAAGGGUGAUCUGCGCCACAUAGAAGGUACUGGUAGAUGGAGACCAUUGUCAGAGAAAACAACUCCACUGGUUAAUGAGCUUGAUGUAUAUGGAAGGGACGCUGAUAAGGAAGCCAUAAUGGAGUACUUGUUGACACUACACAACACAGAUGGCUCAAAUUUAUGUGCGGUUCCUAUUGUGGGCAUGGGCGGGAUUGGUAAAACCACUCUUGCUCAGCUUAUCUACAACGAGGAAAGGGUAGAGCAGUGCUUUCAACUCAAAGCCUGGGUCUGGGCUUCUCAACAAUUUGAUGUUGCCAGGAUUAUUAAGGAUAUUCUUGAAAAGAUCAACGCAAGUACUUGCCGCACCAAAGAACCAGAUGAAUCUCUAAUGGAGGCAGUGAAAGGGAAAAAACUCCUACUUGUUCUAGAUGACGCGUGGAACAUCGAGUACAAUGAAUGGGAUAAGUUACUGCUACCUUUGCGGUAUGUGGAGCACGGAAGUAAGAUUGUCGUGACAACACGGGAAGAAGAUGUAGCAAAAGUCACGCAAACUGUCAUCCCCUCUCACCGCUUGAAUGUAAUAAGCGAUGAAUAUUGCUGGAAGUUGUUUGCAAGGGAUGCAUUUAGUGGUGUAAAUUCUGGAGCAGUCUCACACUUGGAAGCAUUUGGCAGAGAAAUAGCGAGAAAGUGCAAAGGUUUACCGCUGGCAGCGAAAACUCUUGGGGGUCUUUUGCACUCCGUAGGAGAUGUCAAGCAAUGGGAGAAGAUAUCCAAUAGCAGUAUGUGGGGUUCGUCGAAUGAAAACAUCCCUCCAGCUCUAACAUUGCGCUAUUAUUAUCUCCCUUCACACCUGAAACGUUGUUUUGCUUACUGCGCAAUAUUUCCUAAGGGUUAUGAAUUUCAUAAGGAUGAAUUGAUCACUGAAUGGAUGGCACAUGGUUUUCUAGUCCAGCCCAGAGGCGUUGAGGAGAUGGAAGAUAUAGGUGAAAAAUACUUUGAUGAUCUUGUCUCUAGGUCACUUUUCCAGCAAUCAACUCGUGAAUAUUCUUUUUUCAGCAUGCAUGACCUCAUAAGUGAUUUAGCUGAAUACGUGUCAGGAGAAUUUUGCUUUAAGCUUGGUAUUAAUGAAUCGGGCUCUGGGUUGGAGGGUGAACAUUCAUGCUCGCUUCCAGAAAGGACUCGUUAUUUAUCAAUCACUUCAGCGGCAGCAUAUGGCGGAGGACUUCGGAUAUUUCGUAGCAUUCAUGGAGUCCAACAUUUGCGCGCCUUGUUUCCACUGAAGUUUUUUGUGGAAGUUGAUAUUGAGGCGCUGAAUGACAUUUUGCCAAAUCUUAAGCGCUUGCGCAUGCUAUCUUUAUGUCAUCCAAAAGAUAUUUCUUCUCAGUUGCUCAAUUCCAUUGGCAACUUAAAACAUUUGCAUAUUUCUUCUCAGUUGCUCAAUUCCAUUGGCAACUUAAAACAUUUGCGGCACUUGGACCUUUCUUGCACCGCCAUUGAAAUGUUACCUAAAAGUGUGUGCACCUUGUACUAUUUGCAAAGCUUAUUGUUAAAGGAGUGCCGACAUCUCAUGGAGUUGCCAUCCAACCUUUCCAACUUGGUCGACUUACAACAUCUUGAUAUUGAAGGGACAAAUUUGAAAGAGAUGCCACCAAAAAUGGGGAAACUCACGAAGCUUCGAAUUUUGGAUUCUUACAUCGUGGGAAAAGAUAGCGGGUCUAGCAUGAAAGGGUUGGGGAAGCUCUCACAUAUAAGGAAAAAACUUUCUAUUCGGAAUCUCAGAGAUGUUGCAAAUGCUCAAGAUGCUUUGGAUGCCAAUUUGAAGGGUAAGAAGAAGAUUGAGGAGUUGGGGUUGACGUGGGAUGGCAGUACGGAUGACACACCACACGAGAGAGAUGUACUUGAGAAAUUGGAGCCUUCUGAAGAUGUGAAAGAGCUUGCCAUUAUUGGUUACGGGGGUACAACGUUUCCAGGCUGGCUUGGAAACUCUUCUUUCUCAAAUAUGGUAACGUUGCUUCUUUAUGGAUGUAAGAACUGCAUCCUCUUACCACCAUUGGGGCAGCUGCCAUCUCUUGAAGAGCUCCAUAUUGAAGGAAUUGAUGAUGUCGUCCCCAUUUAGUUCUGAGUUCUAUGGAAGUGGACCCUUGGAUUGUGAAGCCAUUUUAAAUCCCUCCAAAAUAUUAAACCUUUGCGGGGAUGAAAAAAUGGCAGGAAUGGAAAACGGAUGUAGAUGGUGCUUUUCCUCAUCUUGAAAAGCUCUUGAUAGCAGGUUGUCCCGAGUUAGCAAAUGCCUUGUGUUGUAACCCAAUUUUGGAUUCACCAAGAUUUUCUUGAAUGUUAUUUUAUUUCUAUUAUUAUUUAUAAAAAUCUAAAAAAAUUAAGAAAAAGUUUAAAAAUUCAAAAAAUAUAUUUUUCUCGAGUCAACCGCAUCUUUCCAUCAAAACCGAGUCUAUCGGGUCAAUACGGGUCAAACCAUGUCGACCAGGGUAAAAAAUGAGUUUCGGGCCGUUUCGGGUCAAAACCGUUAUUUUUGACCAAAACCGAGUUCACCAGGUCAAUACGGGUCAAACCAUGUCGACCAGGGUAAAAAAUGAGUUUCGGGCCGUUUCGGGUCAAAACCGUCAUUUUUUACAAAAACCGAGUUCACCAGGUCAAUACGGGUCAAACCAUGUCGACCAGGGUAAAAAAUGAGUUUCAUGCCGUUUUGGGUCAAACCUAUUAUUUUUUGGUCAAAACCCGGUCCACCGGGUUUAUAUCCAUUGAAAGUUUUUUUUUAUGUUUCAACAUAAUUUUCGGUAAUUAAAAUUGAUUUUUAGCGGUUGAAUCGGGCUUUUUCUAAUACUGAUUUAAGUUUUAAUUUUACCUGUAUAAAUAUAUAUUAUUAUAUAUAAUAAAACAAAAUUACAGUGCGCAGGACGAAGAAGAAAAGAAAAAAAAAGAAAGAAAAGAAUUGUAAAGUUUUUUUACUAUUUCUUCACGAGAGUAGGAUAUUGAUUUAAAAAAAAAACAAUAUGGAAAAUACCAAAUAUAUCCUAACCGUUAGAUCUAAUAGUGUUUAGAUCUGAACCGUUGAUUUAAGAGGAUACAAUAGGGCUUACCACACCAGAUUAAAACCCAAACACAUCUCAGCCCUUGAAAUAAUCUAAGCUUUGAUCCCGUUGUGCCACGUCACCCGGUGUACCGAGAUUUCGGUGCACCGCGUCACACAGGAUCAAACCUCUGUUCAUCCGGACCGUCCGAUCAACCUGCAGAUCGGGCCAAUCACAGCCGCACGAUCUUUCCAUCAGAGAUCCAACGGAUUACAGGCAUCAACGGCACCGGCGUACCGUGCUAGUGCUCUCACCGUAGCAUAGCCCAGAGCAUCUCUCUCCUCUCGCCGGCGACUCCCUCUCUCUCCUCCGAUCUCCCAUAUCCGGCCACUGCAAGCUUGAAACCCACCACAGAAAGGUCGCCUUCAUCAUAUAAAGCAAAACCCCUGCCGGUUUCAGCGUUUUCGCCGCUCUAUUUGGCCGGAAACGGGCCGCGAUUCGUCGGCUGCCACCGAAGCUUCAAGUCGUCGAUUCUCGCUCAUCAGCCAUCAACGACAGUCAAGACCACCACCAUAAGAAUCCUUGACAUCAGAUCUACCAGGAUCGACCAUCGGUUGGACAGAAAUCGCGCCGGAAAAUCUCUCCGCCGCCAACAGUAACCGCGCGUGUGCCACACGCGCCGCCAGUGGCAUUUUUGGAAUUUUUCAAGAAACCCGAGGGUAUUUCAGUCUUUUACCUAUACAGUGGCACUCAUGUAAUUUUUUGGGGUUUCUACUGGUAUUUUUGAUAUUUUUUUAUAUAUAUAAAUGCUUGUAAAUUUUCUUACAUGUUGUAAAAAAUACAAAAACCAAAGUCGACACGUCUCUUUUUUUAAAAGGACCGAUGUCAAAAAUGUAAAUACCAAAUAUGGAUUAUGUCCAUUAUUUCUUUUGGUAACCCAGACGUAAUUAUUCUUUUUAGGGACAAACGUCAAUAUUUUAGACGAGUCUCCUAAUUUUUAGGGACUGAUGUCAUUUUUAACGUGUCUCCUAUUUUUAGGGACCGACGUUAACCAUUUUAAAAAACAAAUUACCAAUAAACCCAAAAUAUAAUGGAUUAUAUCCAUUAUUUUUUUUGGUAAUUCAGACGAGUCUCCUAAUUUUUAGGGACUGAUGUCAUUUUUAACGUGUCUCCUAUUUUUAGGGACCGACGUUAAUCAUUAAAAAAAUUUACAAAUAAGCCCAAAAUAUAAUCGCAUUUGAAUCAAAUAAAAAACACACAAGUAAGGGUAACCUUUCUUUUGAAAGGAUGUUUUAAGGGUGGUGUCUACCUUCCCUUAAUCAUAACUAACCCCGUAUCCAAAUCUCUGGGACCAGUGUCUAAUUUGGGAUUUCUAGUUCCCUCAAAUUACUAGAUGGCGACUCCAGUAAAAUCUUUAUUUCCCCUAAUCAAAGAAAAAAACCCUUUUUGUUAAAUAAACAAAAAAGCGGGAGCCGUCGCCCGACGUCGUGUAUCGACAGAAUGGCUUAUUUGUAAAUUUAACAAAGAGGGGGGAACCGUGAUGAGAGCCGUGAUGACAGAACAAAGAAGGCUUUGGAAUGCAAACAAAGCCACCCCAUGACGAUGAAGCAUCAAAGAGGGGGGAACCUAUAUUUCAAAAACAGGUAAGAUGCAUUGCAUAUCAUCUAACUUCACGAGCAUUACAUAUUUGUUUUGCAGAUAUUUCGAGAAACAAAAUUCCCACUGGGAUCCAACGAGACUCACAUGAAUUGAAGUUCUUGUAAAUCACAUCAAAUAUGGCAAUUCCACAAAAGCAAAAUUCAUAAAUGAAGACAAGAAAGAUGGAUUUUUAUUCAUGGAAAAAGGGGUUUACAAGUACAAAUGUUAAACAGUGCGAGGACGAUCAGGGAUAUUUUCAUCUUGGUGGUUAAUCAUGCCUCGGAAUUCCUCAAAUUGUUUAUGCAUGCGCUCCAUCUCUUCCUCGAACUCGAGGUGUCGUGUGUUAACAUAGUCCCUCCAAAAGUCAACACGUGUAUUUAACUCUUGGUUUCUCCUCUCCAAGUUGUUUCUGUGACGUCUCUCAUCACGGAGUCUAUUCCUUAAAUUCUCAAUCUGAUGUUGGAGAUCAAGAACCUGAGUAUUCAACUCAAGUCUUCUGGCAUGAAGACGCUCUGCAACGUUCACCAAAGACGAAGUAGCUCUGAUACUGAGAGCAAGUGACUGAUUCACUGCUUCAAUAUCGGUCCUGGCUGCCAACAUUAUUUCAUCACGAGGAAGGAUCAUGUCUCUGGCCACGGCUACAGCAAUAUCUUCAUUGUCCAUUACAGUAUCCUCUAUUGUAACUGGACGACCAUUCACUUCAAAGGUAGUAUGCCAACCUGCAGGCUCUACUUCAGGAACAGGGUUUGGGUUCGCAUUGGAAGAAGAAGAAGACAUGGUUAGAGCUUCAAAGGUUAAGAACUUUGAGAGUAUUGAAAAUGCAAGAAGUUGAUGAUGUCUUUUGCCAAAUACUGCGUGAUUUAUAAGGAAUUUACUCCUACCAUCACUUUGAACGGCAGAAAUCCCAACCGUACAUACAAGACUUCCUUGAGAAGCUUUCCUCAUUUUUUGGGAUCCACAAAUCGAAUCCCAACCAUACAUACAGGACUUCCUUGCGAAGCUUUCCUCAUUUUUGGGAUCCACAAAUCAAAUCCCAACCGUACAUACAAGACUUCCUUGAGAAGCUUUCCUCAUUUUUUGGGAUCCACAAAUCGAAUCCCAACCGUACAUACAAGACUUCAUUGACAAGCUUUCUAUUAUUUCUAUGUAUUUCACAAAACCAAUGUUGAAAUCACUUUCAUGUAUUUCACAAGACUAAGAUUGAAAUCACUUUCAUGUAUUUCACAACAUUAAUCUGAAAUCACUUUCAUGUAUUCACAAGAUCAAUAUUGAAAACACUUUCAUGUUUAUCAUUUGGGCAGGUCGCCCAUAAGAAUUAGACCAACUGAAAAAUCGUUGUAUUUUUCAACACUUCCAUCGUUUUUCUUUACAAAACUUACUAUGCAAAAGUCAAAAGAAAAUGAAUUUUCCAAUGCCUUUGCACCGUAAGCAUUGUAAAGAGGGGGCAACUGUUGUAACCCAAUUUUGGAUCCACCAAGAUUUUCUCAAAUGUUAUUUUAUUUCUAUUAUUAUUUAUAAAAAUCCAAAAAAAUUAAGAAAAAGGAAAAUUCAAAAAUAUAUUUUUCUCGAUUCAACCGCAUCUUUCCGUCAAAACCGAGUCCACCAGGUCAAUACGGGUCAAACCAUGUCGACCAGGGUAAAAAAUGAGUUUCAUGCCGUUUUGGGUCAAACCUGUUAUUUUUUGGUCAAAACCCGGUCCAUCGAGUUUAUAUCCAUUGAAAGUUUUUUUUUAUGUUUCAACAUAAUUUUCGGUAAUUAAAAUUGAUUUUUAGCGGUUGAAUCGGGCUUUUUCUAAUACUGAUUUAAGUUUUAAUUUUACCUGUAUAAAUAUAUAUUAUUAUAUAUAAUAAAACAAAAUUAAUAAUACAGAAUUGUCAUAUUAGGCGGGGCAGUUACAUUUAUUGUAGGCGAGCAGUGGACGGAUACAUUGUUAUAAAGCGAGAUGCUUGCUGUCCCCUUUCAUUGGCUAUUCAGUUUUUUUUUUUACUAUUUCUGAUAUUGAUUUUUAUUAAAAACAAUAUGAAAAAUACCAAAUAUAUCCUAACCGUUAGAUCUAAUAGUGUUUAGAUCUGAACCGUUGAUUUAAGAGUAUACAAUAGGGCUUACCACACCAGAUUAAAACCCAAACACAUCUCAGCCCUUGAAAUAAUCUAAGCUUUGAUCCCGUUGCGCCACGUCACCCGGUGUACCGAGAUUUCAGUGUACCGCGUCACACCCGAUCAAAGCUCCGCUCAUCCAGACCGUCCGAUCAACCUGCAGAUCCAGCCAAUCACAGCCAUCCGAUCGUUUCAUCCGAGAUCCAACGGUUCACCGUGUUCAGCAGUACCGGUGUACCAUGCUUGCGUUCUCACCGUAGCAGAACCCAGAGCAUCUCUCUCCUCUCGCCGGCGACGCUCUCUCUCUCAUCCGAUCUCCACUUUCCGGCCAUCUCCAGCCUCCGCACCACCACAGAAAGGUCGCCUUCCUCAUAUAAAGCAAAACCUCGGCCGGUUUCAGCGUUUUCGCCGCUCUAUUUGGCCGGAAACGGGCCGCGAUUCGUCGGCUGCCACAGAAGCUUCAAGUCGUCGAUUCUCGCUCAUCAGCCAUCAACGACCGUCAAGACCACCACCAUAAGAAUCCUCGACAUCAGAUCUACCAGGAUCGACCAUCGGUUGGCCAGAAAUAUCGCCGGAAAAUCUCCCCGCCGCCAACAGUAGCCGCGCGUGUGCCACACGCACCGCCAGUGGCAUUUUCGUAAUUUUUCAAGAAACCCGAGGGUAUUUUAGUAUUUUACCUAUACAGUGGCACUCAGGUAAUUUUUCGGGGUUUUCUACUGGUAUUUUUGAUAUUUUUUAUAUAUAAAUGCUUGUAAAUUUUCUUGCAUGUUGUAAAAAAUACAAAAACCAAAGUCGACACGUCUCUUUUUUUUAAAAGGACCGAUAUCAAAAAUGUAAAUACCAAAUAUGGCUUAUGUCCAUUAUUUUUUUGGUAACCCAGACGUAAUUCUCCUUUUCUAGGGAUAAACGUCAAUAUUUUAGACGAAUCUCCUAAUUUUUAGGGACUGAUGUCAUUUUUAACGUGUCUCCUAUUUUUAGGGACCGACGUUAACCAUUUAAAAAAAAACAAAUUGCCAAUAAACCCAAAAUAUAAUGGAUUAUAUCCAUUAUUUCUUUUGGUAACUCAGACGAGUCUCCAAUUUUUAGGGACUGAUGUCAUUUUUAACGUGUCUCCUAUUUUUAGGGACCGACGUUAAUCAUUUACAAAAAUUUACAAAUAAGCCCAAAAUAUAAUCGCAUUUGAAUCAAAUAAAAACACACAAGUAAGGGUAACCUUUCUUUUGAAAUGAUGUUUUAAGGGUGGUGUCUACCUUCCCUUAAUCAUAACUAACCCCGUACCCGAAUCUCUGGGACCAGUGUCUAAUUUGGGAUUUCUAGUUCCCUCAAAUUACUAGAUGGCGACUCCAAUAAAAUCUUUGUUUCCCCCAAUCGAGAAAAAAAACCCUUUUUGUUAAAUAAACAAAAAAGACGGGAGCCGUCGCCCGACGUCGUGUAUCGACACCUUGCCUAGUCACCUUCCUUGUUUAUGGAGUCUUUAUAUUCAAGAAUGUCCGCAGCUUGUGGUUUCAAUUCCAGAGGCUCCCAUGCUCGACGUAAUCAAUGUAUCUGAGGGCGAUGAAAGCCGUAUAUCUGGGGUAUCAGAUCUACCGUGCCUUCAUUUUAGACGAGAUCCCCAGCUAAAGGGAAUGGAGCAAAUGAGUCAUUUGGAUCCCUCUUCUUUCACUGAAAUCAAAAUCGAGGAAUGUAGUUCAUUUAAGCGCUGCCAGCUAGACCUUUUACCCCGGGUAUCCACACUUACCAUCGAACACUGUCCCAAUCUCGAAUCCCUUUGUAUAGGCGAGGGACCUCUCCCUGCUCUCUGUCAUCUGACAAUCAGUCACUGUCCUAAUUUGGUGUCUUUCCCCAAAGGAGGACUAGCUGCCUCAGAUUUGACAAGGCUUGUGUUAGAGGGUUGCUCAUAUUUGAAGUCGUUGCCGGAAAACAUGCAUUCCCUCCUCCCUUCCCUACAGAAUUUGCAAUUGAUCUCACUUCCAGAAGUUGAUUCGUUUCCUGAAGGAGGUUUACCCUCCAAAUUACACACACUUUGCAUUGAAGAUUGUAUCAAACUCAAGGUAUGUGGUUUGCAAGCACUCCCUUCUCUUUCAUGCUUCAUAUUUACUGGGAACGAUGUGGAGUCUUUUGACGAGGAGACGUUGCCCUCUACUCUUACAACCCUUGUAAUCAAUCGUCUGGGAAACCUGAAGUCUCUGGACUAUAAGGGGCUUCAUCACCUCACCUCUCUUCAGGUAUUGGGUAUCGAGGGUUGCCAUAAGCUUGAGUCCAUAUCAGAGCAAGCGCUUCCCUCCUCCCUUGAAAACCUUGAUCUCAGAAAUCUAGAAUCUCUGGACUACAUGGGGCUUCAUCACCUCACAUCUCUUCAGAGAUUGUAUAUCGCGGGCUGCCCUAAGCUUGAGUCCAUAUCAGAGCUGGCGCUUCCCUCUUCCCUUAAAUACCUUUAUCUCAGAAAUCUAGAAUCUCUGGACUACAAGGGGCUUCAUCACCUCACCUCUCUUUACACAUUGAAGAUCAAGAGUUGCCCUAAAGUUGAGUUCAUAUCAGAACAGGUGCUGCCCUCCUCCCGUGAAUACCAGGGGCUUCAUCACCUUACUUCUCUUACAAAUUUGAGUAUCAAGAGUUACCCUAAACUUGAGUCCAUAUCAGAACGGGCGCUGCCCUCCUCCCUUGAAUACCUUCAUCUCUGUAAACUGGAAUCUCUGGACUACAUUGGGCUUCAGCACCUCACCUCUCUUCACAAAUUGAAGAUCGGGAGUUGUCCUAAACUUGAAUCGUUGCAGUGGCUGCCUUCCUCCCUUGAAUUCCUUCAGUUAUGGGAUCAGCAAGACCGGGACUACAAGGAGCUUCGGCACCUCACCUCUCUUCGCAAAAUGCAGAUAAGGAGGAGCCUUAAGCUUGAGUCCUUUCAAGAAGGCACACUUCCCUCCUCCCUUGAAGACCUUGAAAUCUGGGAUUUGGAAGAUCUGGAAUUUAAGGGGUUUCGGCACCUCACCUCUCUUCGUGAAUUACAUAUCUGUAGUUCUCCUAAGCUCGAGUCCGUGCCAGGAGAGAAGCUGCCCUCCUCCCUUGUAUCUCUUCAAAUAUCAGGUCUGAUAAAUCUGAAAUCUGUAAUGGGGCUUCAGCACCUCACCUCUCUUCGCAAAUUGAUUAUCUCGGAUUGUCCUCAGCUCGAGUCCGUGCCAAGAGAAUGGCUGCCCCUUUUCCGAUAUGAUGAUAUUAGACGUUGUCCUAAACUUAAUUUGGUUAUAGGAGACGGUCUCACUAUACCAUUUUCCUAGUUUUGUACCCGCGCUCCGCGGCCGAGCGGUUAUUUCUUUUAAGUAAACAAAAAUUAAUAAAUAGGUUUUACAACGCAUUCUUUAAUAUACAAUAUUUUUCUAUCAUAAAUAGAAAUGUCUAUAUAUAUAUUUAGUAAUUAGAUCAAUAGUUGAUAAAGAGAUAAUUAAGAAUAAAAUAUUUAAUCUUACAAUAUAAAUAAUUAAUAUAUUUAGUUAUGUUUAACAAUUAUAUUUUCUAAAGUUUUUUUUAUAUAUAAAACAAUUAUAUGUGCCAAUAAAAGGUUAAAAAAAAAUCAUAUCCAAUGUAAAAUGAAGAAAAUUAAAAAAAAAAUAUGUCAAACUGUAUAAAUAUGGUAACAUUGUGACAAUAGACACAUGAUUGAGAUAAUUUUAUAUAAAGAAAAAUGAAAUAAAAAGCACAAAUACCAAUUCUAAAAAAGUUAAAUGUUGAAGGAUGAAAUUGAAAAAACACAAGGAUAUUUGAUUUCGCAACAUGGUUCAUGCACUAAGCCGUGUUUAAUAGCUUUGUUUUUUAGAAUAUAUUUUUUAUUUAAUCAAACAAUUAUCUAUGCAAAUAAAAGAUAAAAAAAAAUCACAAAUAAAAGCAAAUUGAAUCAAAUCAUGAAGUCAAUUAUAAAAUAACUCAAUGUUGAAUGAUGAAAUUAAAAAAAUAAUAAUUAAGAAAAACAAAAAAAAUAUGGGUCAACCCUUAUUAAUCCGUUAACAUUGCGACCAUUGGUACAUAAUUGUGAUAAUCCCAUAAAAAAUAUGAAGACCAACUUUUAGAAAAAUUAAAUGUUGAAGGAUGAAAUUAAUAUAUAUAUAUAUAUAUAUAUAUAUAUAUAUAUUAAAAAAUGACUAAAAAAACUACUAGAGUCAACCCAUGUUAACAUUUGAAAUUUGUAAUUGUGAUCUUGAGACCAAGACUACUCACGCAUCAGUCAAACCCAAAAAAACAACAAAGUAAAUUUCUCAAUAAAAAAAUGUUGAGGCAUGAAAAUUUCAAUAAAAAAACAACAUGAAAAAAAUAUGAAUAAACCAGGGUUAACUCGCUAACCUCACGACCAUGGAAACAUGAUCAGGAUAACCCUAAUGAAAAGAAAGUGAUAAAGAAAAGCACAAAGAAUAACACUAAAAAAAAUAAAAGUUGAGGGGUGAAAUUAAAAAAACAAAAAAAACCAAAGUCAACCGUUGUUAACUUUCAAAACUCAUGAUUAUGCUGUUGGGACUGACCAUAUAAAAGGCAAACCCAAAACAAAACAAUAUAGCAAAAUUCUCAGUGAAAAAAAGUUGAGGCUUGAAACUCAGUAAAAAAAAGCAACAAAAAAUAUAUGAGUCAACCCAAGUCACCCAUUUGACUAUGGGCAUGUGAUUUAGAUAAUCUUAUGGAAAGGAAAGCAAAAAAAAAAAAACAAUAAAACCAAUUUUAUAAAAAUUAAAUAUUGAAGAAUAAAAUUAAAAAAAUUAAUUUUAUAAAAAAGACUUGAAGAAACCAAAAUCAACCCGUGCAAACCUUUAAAAGUCAUGAUUCAAUAAUAAUAAAAAAAAAGAAGCUAAGUGAUGAAAUCAUUAAAAAAACAAUAAAAAAAAAUUAUUCAAAACAUAAUAAACAUAAGUAAAAAAAGAAUAGAGAUCAAAUUCAACACUAAAAAAAUAAAAAUCAAAUAAUGAGAAAUAAAAUCAAAACAAUAUCUAAUUAGAUUAAGGAUUAAAAAGUGUCAAAAAAAAGUGUCAAAUUUGAUCUAAAAAUAAAAUAAAGUAAAAUAAUUAGAGAUAAAUAGUAAUAAAUACUAUUUUUAUAAAAUAAAAAGAAAAAAAUAAAAAAAAAAAUAAAAAUCAAAACACAAUAUAUAACAAAAAAAAAGUAAUAUAAAUGUUUAUGUCACAUAACAACCAUUGGUUCCAAACAAAACCUGAAAAUAAAAAAACAAGACACCUGCCGUCAUUAGGUCCGGAUUUGCCUGAAAGGCAGAACUGCACAUGCAUUUUCCAUAGCAUGCCAAAGCCAAAUCAAUCUUACCCAUAGCGAGAAUUAAAACAAAACAAAAUAGUAACAACACCAAAAACAUCCUUUAUUCAUUGUUAAAGGUCUUCUGAAAUAAGAUUGGUUUCAAUGGCAAGUGGAAAUCAUAAAGAGAGCAACGAAAGGACAAAAAUCGAUCAAAAAACCCUUACUGAAAGAAUAAACAACACACCUUCGCCUCGUGUGUUCUCCAUCAAUUUGUUCAAGAGAAAAAGGACAAGAACUGUAGUAUCACCACCUCCAUCCUCUCUCAGUAGCUUCUUCUUCUCCAAUGUGCAUACCUUUUUGGUUCUCACAUGCCUCCUCUCCCUCUUCUGAAUCAUGACUACAAUUGAAGAAAACAACUCUAAUCCCACCUAAGAACAAUGCUCUAAUAUCAAAUUUGAUACGAGACAAAAAAGAUUGAAGUUGAAGAAGAAAGAAAAGAAGAAGAAGCCCGAAAAAGAAGAAAAAGCUGAUCAAAUACUAAAACCAUAACUAGAAUAAAUAAUUAAGUUUAUAAUCCACUAAAUAAAAUACUAAAAAAUAAUUAAAUCAAAUCCAACAAAUAAUAUCUAAUUAAUAAAUUUCAACUAAAAGUUCAAAUAAAUAAAAUUAAAACAUAAGCUAAAGCUUAAUCGCUUAAUGAUUUGGACUACCCUCUAUCAUUUAUGAUUAUAUGAAUACAUGUUUCGAGUCAGUAUCCCCACAUUUUUUUUGUUUUUGGUGGAAACAAAAAGAGGUGCAUAUGUUUUUGUUAGGAAAAAAAUUUCUUGCCCUAAAAUAAGAAAAAAAAGUUGCACCUAGAGGUGAUCAUUUUCGGUUCGGUUCAGUUUUUAUCAAAAAAGUAACCAAAUGUACUACAUACUUUUUACCGAUCGAACCAAAUGUACUAUAUUAUCAGUAGUUGUAGCUACUUCUGAAACAGUUGGUGCGAUGGGUGCGAGUGAAGGUGCUGGCAUAGGAGCGGCAACACUAGUCAUACCUUCCACUACUGCUUUGAGUAGCUGGGCUAGGAGCAUCAAAUCAACAUAAGAAACAAAUGGCCUUCCAAGUGUAGUCUGUGGGGGCUCCUCUGCUCGUUCCGGUAGGGUUGACACGGUCGGCUGAACAUCCCCAGCUUGCCUCGGUACUUGUCUGACUUGAGGCCCCGUCGAUUCUUCAUGCCUUGCUUGCUUCGAUACUGCUGGUGCAUGUCAAGCAGUAUCUUCUAAAAGGCUCUCUUCUCGUCCCUCGUAAAAGUCUAUAUCUCUGUUCCCCUUCCCUAUAGAGGAUAGAUUUGUUCUAAUCUCUUGGCGAGUACGUACCAUCCUGCAAUAAAUUAAUAACAUCAUUACCCUUUGUUUCGAGUUUUUCCCAAAAUCCAUACGAGGGCUCUAAUACCAACUAUAACAAUCCCACCUUUUCAAUUUCGUCAACACUAAAAGAUCCCAAUAUAUACUCUUAAUUUGAGGGUAAAUUGUUUUUUUUCUUAUAUAUAUAUAUAUAUAUAUAUGAAAGUCUACCGAUAUUUUCACUGAAAUUUUGGCAAAGUUCCCUUUGUAUUUAGAACGUCCCAAGUUAUCGACUUCUUUCAAUUUACCCAUUCAAGCCAUCAAAACAAGGUCCCAUAAUUUUGAACUUUAUUUUACAUCAUUAAUACUCAACUCCUCAUACAAUUCAUGCACACAAUUUAUACACACACACACACACACACACACACCCUACGAAUAAGAUCAAUAUAAAUAUAGCCCAUAUAUCGUAUAAUAAAGUCUAGAAGAAAAAGGGAUACUAACAUGUAAUGAGAGAAUUUAAAACAUAACAUCAGUAUUCUUAAAAGUUUCAAAGGGUUAAAAACAAAGUAGCUAAGGAGUUCUUACUCAUACAUUAUAUCAAAGUUUACAUAAUUAACAUACUAUAUGCCGAGCCAAUAGUUUUGUAUACAUCAAGGUUUACACAAAAGCAUAUUGCGUAACCUAGCUAAUACUAUUAUGCUUGAGCUAAAUGUUUUUACAUAAGUUUAGCAAAGCAGAGUCCUAAAAACUAAUGAGCUCCCUGAGUAUUAGAUGGACCUGUUACAAUAACAACUUAAUAAGCAUACAAUUAUAUUGUCAACAGAAACAAAAAUGAUCAUAUAAUGAAUACAAAUAAAGCAUAAGUUUUCUAUUAGUUUCCCAAUAAUUUUAAUAAUCAACUUAUAAAUUCUUUCAUAUAUAUUUAAAAACUCAAUUAGACAUCAUUUACGUAUUCUUAAUUGAAUACUCUUAUUUUCUUGUAUGAACCUAGUACCUUUGCCUAAUUGGUUUUACUAAAUCUUUAACUUUGCAUAGUUCCACUUGGAUAGUUUAGGUAAUUAUACUUAUCAAUUCUCUCAGGUCAUCCAAACAUGGAUACCUUUUCCGAAUCGAGCCUUAUCGAUCAUUCCCAGGCAUCCUGACAUGGACGUCAUUAGCUGAAGCGAAUCUUGUAAUUCACUUCCCAGCAAUCCUAUCACGGAUGCCAUUAGCCUAAGAUAAUCUUGAGAUUCAUUUCCCGACAAUCCUAUUACGAAUGCAAUUAGCCGAAGCUAAUCUUGUAAUUCAUUUCCCGGUAAUCCUAUCAUGGAUGCUAUUAGCCGAAGCUAAUCUUGUUAAUACACCGGACUUUGUUUACAUUAAACAUAACUUAAUUGUCAUUGUCUUCAUCGGGAAGACUUUAAAUUACAUAAGAGUAAAGGAGAGGUAAAACCACGCACCUUCUCCGCCUGUCUCGUGACCUCCUUCAACAAAAGAUCCAAUCCUAGUCGCUCCGCCUAAAUCACAAAGAAGUCUUUGGUCAUGUUUCCUUUAAGCUAAAUGUUUAAGGAAAUCCAUAUUCAUUCAUUAUACAUAUGGUACUUUCCAUGCAUGUUCAUUUCCUCAUCAUAACAUACAUAUACAUAUCAAGUAUAUAUUUUCAAGGUUUUAUAUCAACGUGCAAGUGCCCCUACGACUAAGUUUGUUUUUGCAUCAACGUAAAUUAGUGACUUAUGACUCAUAACUGGAGUCUCAUAACUUUAAAUAAAGCAAACUUUGGUCAAUAAAAAGGUAACACAUUUAUCCAUAAUUUCAUUAAGGAUCAUGCAUGAAACUCUGUCAAUAUCAAAUCACAAACCAAAAAAGAAGUUAGACAGCAAAUUUGUCCAGCAGCUUCUAGCCUAACCUCCUCUCAGUAUUUUGCCUAUAUAUGGAGUUCUAUAACUCCUAAUAAAGUGAACUUUAUACCAAUUAAAAGGUAACACAUUUAUAUAUAACUACAUGGAGGAAAAUGCAUCAUACUCUAUCAAUAUAAAAUCCCAAACCGAACAAGAAGUUAGACAGCAAAUCUGUCCAGCAGCUUCCAGCCUAGCCUCCUCUAAGUAUUUUGCUUAUAUAUGGAGUUCUAUAACUCUAAAUAAAGUGAAAUUUAUGUCAAUUGAAAGGUAACACAUUUAUAAAUAUCCACAUGAAGGAAAAUGCAUGAUACUCUGUCAAUAUCAAAUCCCAAACUAAACAAGAAGUUAGACAGCAAAUCUAUCCAGCAGCUUCCAACCUAACCUUCUCUUAGUAUUUUGCUUGUAUAUGGAGUUUUAUAACUCUAAAUAAAGUGAAAUUUAUGUCAAUUGAAAGGUAAUACAUUUAUAGAUAUCCACAUAAAGGAAAAUGCAUGAUACUCUGUCAAUAUCAAAUCCCAAACUGAACAAGAAGUUAGACAACAAAUCUAUCCAGCAGCUUUCAGCCUAACCUCCACUUAGUAUUUUUCCUGUAUAUAGAGUUCUAUAACUCCAAAUAAAGUGAAAUUUAUGUCAAUUGAAAGGUAACACAUUUAUAGAUAUCCAUAUGAAGGAAAAUGCAUGAUACUCUAUCAAUAUCAAAUCCCAAACUGAACAAGAAGUUAGAUAGAAAAUCUAUCCAGCAGCUUCCAGCCUAACCUCCUUUUAGUAUUUUGCCUGUAUAUGGAGUUCUAUAACUCCAAAUAAAUGAAAUUUAUGUCAAUUGAAAGGUAAGACAUUUAUAGGUAUCCACAUGAAGGAAAAUACAUGAUACCAUGUCAAUAUCAAAUCCCAAACUGAACAAGAAGUUAGACAACAAAUCUAUCCAGUAGCUUCCAGCCUAACCUUGUCUUAGUAUUUUGCCUGUAUAUGGAGUUCUAUAACUCCAAAUAAAGUGAAAUUUAUGUCAAUUGAAAGGUAAUACGUUUAUAGAUAUCCACAUGAAGGAAAAUGCAUGAUACUUUGUCAAUAUCAAAUCCCAAACUGAAUAAAAAGUUAGAUAGAAAAUCUAUCCAGCAGCUUCCAGCCUAACCUCCUCUUAGUAUUUUGCCUGUAUAUGGAGUUCUAUAACUCCAAACAAAGUGAGAUUUAUGUCAAUUGAAAGGUAACACAUUUAUAGAUAUCCACAUGAAGGAAAAUUCAUGAUACUCUGUCAAUAUCAAAUCCCAAACCAAACAAGAAGUUAGACAACAAAUCUGUCCAGCAGCUUAACCUCCUCUCGGUAGUUUGCCUAUAUAUGGAGUUCUAUAAUUCCAAAUGAGGUAAGACCAGUGCCAAAAGUUAGCUAACUCAUUUAUCUACAACUUUCAUAUGUAAUGUUAUAACAAUUUCAAUCGACUUCUAUGCCUAACAUUAGCAUAAUUUCUAUACUUACAUAUUUGUAAUGGAAGUAACAUACAAACAUGUUUAAGUUUCUGUUUCAGCCCUUGAUUUAGCCUUAGGAUAACUAUGUAAGGUCAUAAUUAGCAGAGAUUAGUAUCAAAUUUCUAUUCUCUUUCUUUCUACUUUCAUGGUCGUCCCUAAAGAGGAUUUGUUCCACUAAUUUCUAUCAUUUUCUUUUGUCAUAGAAGCUGAAAAUGUUUAACUUCUCAUCUCAACCUUUUAAUUUCAUCAUUUGUUUUUUUUUUGUCAAAAUCAUGAAGUUCUAGGAACCCUAAAUUAUUUAUAUUGGGGUUUUUUCCCCCUUUGGAUUCAAAACAAAUCAAAUUAACAAUAGAAUAGCAAGGGCUUAUCCUUACCUCACGAUUUUAUCUAAAGAUGGAAGGUGUUUUCUUGAUGGUUUUCUUCUUCUCCUCUUUAUCACUGUUUCAGCCGGCCCUUGUGCCCUCCAAACCUCAAGAUUUUAUGGAUCUACACUUCCUAAUUACUCUCCUCUCUCACGUAGGUUCAUGCAAGGUGUUUUGGGUGAGAAAUGUGUGCAAUAAAAGGGAGCCAAUCUUCUCUCUUCAACUUGUUCUAAUUGAAAGUGAGAGGAAAGGUCAGGAAUUCUUUUUUUUUUUUUAAUGUAUUUAUACUCCCUUAUAUAUGCCUUAGGUCUUGUUUGGUAGUUUGGUCAAAUUUGUUCCUAACAUUACUUUUCUCCUUGUUGUGUGCUUUAGUUCUUCAUUUCACAAUUUGUUUAACAUCUCUCCCUCAUCCUUCCCUUCACACAUUUUAAUCCUUAGACAUUUGUUAGUUUUUAUACCCAUAUUUUUGUAAAAUAUUUGACUUCGUAAUUUAUUUUCUUAUUUUGAAUUCACCCUAUAAGUAUUGAAACAUUUUUAUUUUCUAAAAAUUUCAACUUGGGGUUUACAUAACCUUUAAGAAGAAGUGAAAAGAAAAGGUUGAAGCAGACAUCAUGAUUAUCCAAAAUGCAAUAUUUGAUCCCUGGUCCCAACAACAAAUCCAUAGUUAUCACAAAGAUCUAGUCCAUUUCUUUUGCCUUCCUUCUCUUACUUUUCUAGCUAUUUUUUCCUACUUUCUACUAUCCAUUCUAGAGCUUCAGAUUCUUAUAUUGUACAUAGAAUUUGAGUCUAGUUUUUUAACAGUUCAUAAACCUCGAUCCAUCAUACAAUUUCUCAAGAUGAUGCUGUUAUAAUUUAAAAAAACUAUUUAUAGAAGAUUUAUCUUCAAGGACAAGAGUUGAAUCCUUAAUAGCACAUUUAUACUCCCUACUUUUCAUCUAAAUUUCUUUAACAAGUAAGUCAUAUUUACUUUGUCAUUAUAUUUAUGUCAUCUAGAUUAAUACUAGUUAGAUGGUCUGCGCUAUACCGUGAGCCAACGUUUUAUUUUCAUAAAAAAUAUCAAAAAAAUAUAAGACCCAAGAGCGUUGAGUCUAACUGUAACACUGGAUCUAAAAGCAUUGAGUCUGACUGUAACACUAGAUCUAAAAGUAUUGAGUCUGGUUGCAACACCAAACUCAACAAUAAUAUUUAUAAUAUAAAUAAUAAUAUUUAACUUGUCUGCCUAUAUUGUUAUAUUUUUAAAUCUUUAAAAAAAAAUUAUGAUUUUUCUUCAAUAGUAAUAAUAGUAUUAUUUUAAAUUUAUUAAUAAUAAUGAUAAUAAUAAUAAUAAUAAUUUUUAAUUUUACCUUUUAAAUCAAAUCUAUGGUGGUUUUUCAAUAUUGAUAAUAAUGUUUUUCAAAUUUAUUAAUAAUAUUAAUUAUAAUAAAAAUAAUAACAUUUAUAAUACAAAUAAUAAUAUUUUUAAUAUUAAUACUAUUAAUUAUAAUAAAAAUAAUAAUAUUUAUAACACAAAUAAUAAUAUUUUUAUAAUAAUAUUUUUAAGUAUAAUAAAAAUAACAAUAUUUAUAACACAAAUAAUAAUAUUUAGAAACCUAAAACACAUUAGUGUUGGAACUUGACGCCGGACCCAAGAGAAUUAGAUCCUAACACAGGUCUUAGGAGAAUUGGGUUCUAAAACAAGACCCAUUACCCUUGGAUCCUGAUGCUGGCCCCAAGAGAAUUGGGUUGUAAUGCAAGUGAGUUGGGUCCUAACGCAUGACCCAUCAGCCUUGAGUUUUGAAGCCGAACCCAAGAUAAUUGGGUCCUGAUGCAAUUCCCAAGAGAGUUAGGUCCUGACGUCGGACUGAAGAGAAUUAAGUCCUGACGCAGGACCCACUACUUAUGGGUCCAAACGCUGGAUCCAAGUGUAAACCCCAAUUGAAAAUUAGUCUGAAAAGCAAUUUAAAUGCUUAUAGAAUAGAUUUAUCAGAAGUACCAAAUAAGCAUUAGAACAAACCAUGUAAAAUAAAAAACAGAAAAGUGAAUAAAAUAUUACUAAGAGUGAAUUACCUAGAAAUAAAAUUAUCAAUAUGUAACUAAAUGAAAAUCGAAUUCACCCGGAUAAAAAGUUUAUACAGAGAAAUACUAGGAUCCAAGAAUUUUAUCUCAUGAACAAGAAAUUUACUAUUUAGGAUAUAGAGGGAAUUUGGUAAAAAGUUUAUAUAUAUAUAUAUAUAAGUGUGCAUGUGUGUGGGCAAGAAGAAAAAAGAGAGAAAAAGAAAUAGAGAGAAAUAGGGGAAACUAUCAUUUACAUGUGAGAGAGAAAACAAAAUGAUAAAAACAUAAAAUCUUAAGAGGAGAUCUUGAGGGAACAUUAACCAAACUUAGUGAGCAUUAAUUGGAAGGAAGAAAAACCUAGAAAAAAAGGAGGGAAGUUCAACCAAGAUUAAAGAAAAGAGGAGUUGGAAGCUUGAAUUGGGUAGUGUUUAGAGUCUUAUUAUUUGCUUGGUAGGGCAUUCUAAAGACUUUUAAUUUGAUUUUUAAUGGCUUAAAGUCUUUAAUUGAUUGAAUUUUUGAAAUUUGGAAAGUUAGGGUUCUUGAAUGAAUUUGGAAGAAAUAAAACUUUACUGUAAAUUAUCAUGGGGAAUAAUGUGAAAGUUAGAGUAAAGUAAUUAAAUUAUUGUAGUUGAAGUAAAAAAUUUUGAUAAUUAAAUAGGGCUAGUGGUUAACCAAUGAUGAGAGUUUUUCAAUCUUAUUUUAUGCUACUCUGUUAGUGCUUUAUACUCCAUGAUGUGAAUUGAUGAACAAUGUAGGCAAUAGAACUAUUUUUUUGAAUAUCUCUUUACAACUUCUUAAAUUUCAUGGAGAUGUCUGAUGAGGAAUAUAGUUGAUUGUUGGUCCUUAUUAGAUUUUGUAUGUAAUGGAGUUAUGAGACGUUAAUAAUUCAUUAGAGAUGUUAAUUUGAUGGCUAAAAUCCAUGAAAUUCAACGGGACUAUUACAAAAGGUGAGAUAUUUAAGACAGUAACAAAUCAAACAUUAACAGUUGAGGUUUAAGACAGUAACAGAUCAAAUAGUAACGGUUGAGGUCUAAGACAGUAACAGAUCAAAUAGUAAUAGUUGAGGUCUAAAACAGUAACAGAUCAAACAUUAACAGUUGAGGUCUAAGACAGUAACAGAUCAAAUAGUAAUAGUUGAGAUCUAAAACAGUAACAGAUCAAGCAAUAACAGUUGAGGUGUAAGACAGUAACAGAUCAAGUAGUAAUGGUUGAGGUCUAAGACAGUAACAGAUCAAACAUAUAUAUAUAUAUAUAUAUAUAUAUAUAUAUAUAUAUAUAUAUAUAUAUAUAUGAGAACUGAGUUGUGUGGACACUUGCACGUUGAGAUACUGACUCUGAAAAUAUAUAUGAUAUGUGUAUAUAUGUUAUGAUGAAGAAAUAAACAUGCAUAAAAAGUAACAUAUGUGUAAUGAAUGAAUAUGGAUUCAGGAGGAGUGACCAUGAUUGGAUCUUCUGUUGGGGGAGGUCACGAGACAGGCGAAGCAGGUGCGUGAUUUUCCCUCCUCUUUGCACUUAUGCAAUUUAAAUAUAUUUUUUUGGUGAAUGCAAUUACAAUAAAUGUCAUGUUCAAUGUAAAUAAAAUCUAGCAUAUUUACAAAAUUAGCUUCGGCUAAUAGCAUCUGUGAUAGAAUUGCUAGGAGAUGAACUACAAGAUUAACUUUGACUAAUGUUGUCCGCGUUGGGACGCCCGAGAACGAUUGAUAAGACUCGAUUUGUAAAGGGUAUCCGUGUUUGAAUGAUCUAGGGGAAAUUGAUAAAUAUAAUUGCCUAAAAAUGUCUAAGUUGGACUAUACAAAGUCACCCGGUUCAUGCAAGUAAAUAAGAGUAUUUAAAUUAAGGAUAUGCAAAUGAGUUUUAAUUGGGUUUAAAUGAUUUACAAGCAAAUUAUAAGUUGAUUGUUAGAAUUCCUAUGGAUUCGAUAGAAAAUUUAUACUUCAUUCGUAUACAUUACAUGAUCAUAUAUAUUUCUUUUAUCAACAUAAUGGUAUGCUUACUUAGUUGUUUGUGUAACAUGUCCAUCAACUGUCCAGGGAGAUCAUUAGUUUGGGACUCCACUUUGUUAAGCUUAUGUAAAUAUUUAACUUAAGCAUAAGGGAAUUAACAUGAUUAUACAAUAUGUUUUUGUGUAAAUCUUGAUGUAUAUAUAAAAGUCUUAGCUCAACAUAUAGUACAUUAGUUAUCUUGUAAUUAACUCUUUUGAAAUGUUUAAAAAUACUUAUUAUAUUUUAAAUUUUCUCUUUACAUGUUAGUAUCCCUUUUUCCUUUUAAAUAUUAUAAUAUGAUUUGUGGGAUAUAUAUAUAUAUAUAUAUAUAUAUAUAUAUAUAUAUAUAUAUAUAUAUAUAUAUAUAUAUAUUGUGUGGAUUGUAUGAGGUGUUGAAUAUUGAUGAUUGAAAUAAAGUCUGAAAUUAUAGGACCUUAUGAUGAUGGGUUGAUUGAGUAAAUUGAUAGUAGUCGAUAACUUGGGAUAUCCUAAAUACAAACGAAACUCUACCAAAAUUUUGGUAGAAAUCUUUACAAAAACAAUUACCCUCAAAUUAAGAGCAUAUGAUGGGGUCUUUUAGCGUUGAUCAAAUUGUACAGUUGAGUCUGUUACAGUUGGUAUUAGAGCCCUGGUAUGGAUUCUAGGAAGAAUUCAAAAGAGGUUAUUGAUGUUUGUUAAUUUAUUGCAGGAUGGUACGUACCCACCAAGAGAUUAGAUCAGAUCUAUCUUCAACAGGGAGGGGGAAUAAAGAUAUAGACUUUUACGUUGGGCAAGAAGAGAACCUUUUGAAAGAUACUGCUUCACAUGCACCAGCAGUAUCGACUAAAGCAGGGCAUGAAGAAUCGAUGGGGCCUCAAGUCCGACAGGCACCAAGACAAAGGACCCAUUAGCCUUGGAUCCUAAUGCCGAACUUAAGAGAAUUAGGUUCUGAUAGAGGACCCAUUACAUUUGGGUCCUAACGUCAGAUCCAAGAAAAUUGAGUGUUGACGCAAGACCCAUUAGCUUUGGAUCUUGACACUGAACCAAAGAGAAUUGAGUUCUGACACGGGACCCAUUAGCUUAUGGUUCUAAUGCAGGACUCAAGAGAGUUUGAUCCUAACACCAAAUCCAAGAGAAUUGGGUGUUAACGCCGAAUCCAAGAGAAUUGGGUUAUGACACAGGACUCAUUAGCUUGGGUCUGGACACGGAUACAUUACCAAUGGGUCUAGACGCCGGACACAACAACCUUUGGUACGAUACGAACCCCAGAGUGGGCUAGAUAGGGCUGCAAGACCCAAGUGAUUUGGGUCUGCUCUUUUGCCAAACCCAAGUAACUUGGGUGAGGCACCCCUUUCCAGCCCCAGGAUUUUUAGGUCUGGAAAGGGAUGCCUAACCCAAGUUAAUAACAAUAAUAUUAUAUUUUACCUUUAAAAUCAAAUUUAUGUUUUUUUAUAGUAAUAAUAUUUAUUUUAAUUUUAAUAAUAUUAAUUAAUUGAAUAAUAUUUAUAAUAAUAUUUAACUUAUCUGUCAAAGUUCUUAUAUUUUUUAAUCUCUUAAAAAAAACAUUAUAGUUUUUUUUCGAUGAUAAUAAUAUUUUUUUAAAAUUUACUAAUGAUAACAACAACAACAACAAUAAUAUUUAAUUUUACAUUUUAAAUCAAAUCUAUUAUUAUUUUUUAAUAAUAGUUUUUAUAAAUUUAUUAAUUAUUAUAUUAAUAAUAAUCAAAAUAAUAAGAUGUUAUGUGGGAGGGUCUGCACCCAUCACGGUUCUGGAGACCCAGGUAAUAUCACAUUAAUAGUGAAAGAUCUACUCAACCAUGAUUUUAAAAGUUUUCCUUGACGAACAUGCGACGUUUUUUAGCCAAGAAAAUACGAUGUCGUAGGGCAAUCUUUAAAAAUUAUUUUUAUUUAAUUCUGUGGUAAUUAAGAUAAAUACGUGUAGGAAUUCUGAUAAUUUAAAUUAUGGAGAAUAAACUUAUUCAUUGUUCAAUAAACACUGUGAUUUGUGAGUGUAUGCACAGUGUUGUUUUAUGUACAGAAAGAAAAGGGAGCCAUGUUUUAGUUUAUAGUGUUAGUGUUACUAUUUCAUGAGAAGCUAAUCCUGUAUUAGUUUUUGGUAGUUCAGAAAUUAAUGUGAUUUACUUAGCUAAUCCAGUUCCCAUGAGAAGCAAAAGAUCCUGUAUAAAGUUUUCUAUAAUGACAUUUUGUAUUUAAUUUUUUUGUUUUAAAAGAAGUUAAAUUUUUAUAAUUUUUUUCAAAAUAAUUUUUUAUUUUUUUAUAUUAUUUGAAUAUGCUGAUUUUAAAACUAAAUUCUAAAUAAUAAUAAAAAAUUAUUUAAAUAUAUUUUUAAAAAACAACUGAAUUUUUGCAGAAAACCCAGCUAUAAAUUAACAUCUUUAGCCCGUGACGGUAACCGGCAGUUCUACCCAUGACGGUGGCGGUGAGUCCUCCCAAUUGUACAUGUCGGAUCCUUCUUGCCCGGGACGGUGAUGGGCAAUCCCGCCUGUCAUUUCAGUGUGGCCCCAGGUGAAAUGAUUUUAAAAUAUAAAAAAAUUAGCUUUUAAUAAUUAAAUAAUUUUAAUUUAAAUUGAGGAAAAAAGACUUCUUAACAAAAUAAAACUUACGAUAUUACAGUAACAAACAUGCUAAAAAACAUCUUCUUUUUCAAAGCAUGCAACUACAGGACCAGCCAUAUUAAGCUGCUUGUGAUAUUACUCCUCAUACAACCAAAUCAAUCCAUAACCUACGAGAUUUAUUGCAACUCUUGCUUACUUUUCAAUUCCAUAACCUAUGCUUGCUUUCAAAUAUAUAUAUAUACUAACUUUGAACGACAAACAUGUUUGUAAAUUAAGAGUGAAAGGAAAGUUGAAAAUCACAGGGAGAGCCUUAUAUAUAUAUAUAUAUAUUACUCCUCAUAGAAUUUCAUGAAGCAUUGAGGUUCUGGGCGAGAAGUUGACCACUCCUGAUAUUCUGGGCUUCUUCAAAAGCCACAAGCUCAAUGAUCGAUGGUCUUCUGGGAAAGUUGAAAGAAACACUGAAUACCCUCAACGGACUUCUCGACGACGCGGAGGAGAAGUAGAUUACCAAGCCUGCUGUGCAGAAGUGGCUUAAUGAUGCUAGACAUGCUGUGUAUGAAGCUGAGGACUUAAUGGAGGUGAUUGAAUAUCAACAUCUACGAUCCAAGGAUAUUAAAGCUGCCUCUCGACGAGUUAGGAAUCGGGUAAGCAUAUGGUUUUGCUCUUGUAGACCUUGCUUUCUCGUAUAAUGUUAUUAUCGAUCCCUCUGAUUUUUACAAGCACAAUUCGAAAUUGUAAGAUAUCAGAAAAUUUCAUAUCUUUUCUUGAAAUAUUUCAUGCAAACAACACCCCUCAAUUAUGCUAAUUUAUCUCAUGCAACCAAUCCUAUGAUACUAUCCUGCAACCACUACUCAUUAUUAUUCCAACAAAUUCCAACCACUUUUUAAUAGCCCAGCCUGGCCAAGCUGUCAACUUAAUUAAAACAUGUUCAAUCUAGAAUUUGAAUUAAAUUGUUUUUUUUAAAACAAAAAUCAAAGUUGACCCAUUAAUUUUUAAAAAAACAUUAGCACUAAAUGUUAAAUAUUGGUGUCAUAACACCUUUGAAAAAAAAAUUAGUGGAAUAGCUUAUUUUCACAUUUUUAAUAGCAAUAUUUAGUAAAUAUUAUUUUUUUGAAGUGCAACAAAGUGAAAGUCCAAUUAUUUGACUUAAUUAGUUAGUUGAUUGAAUUUAAUUGUAUUAACUAGUCGAUUAUUUCACAUAAAAACCAUAAUUUUAUGAAUUUUUUCUUUCAAAUAUAAAUUAUGAGUCAAAAUAUACAUGUGUCUAACAUCUAGACUAAAAAAUAGAUUUCAAUUAAAGUUUUAAAAAAAUUAUUAUUUACAUAGUAGUUGUUAUCUAUUUUUCAAUGUCAAUUAAUGAUGUAGAAAAGCUUGUGACAGUAAGUGAUUCUAAGUUGUCAGAUGUUUGUUUAUCAUAACUAUAUAAGGAUUGUCCUAAAUAAAUUAAAUGUAUGACCUAACAAAUAUAUUUAUAGACCAAUAAAAUAGUUUGAAGCUUAAGAGGAGAUUUGAUCCCACAAAGCCAGAAUAAUAAGAAAAAAAACCAUAAUUUUUUAUUUGACUAUUGAAUUGCACUCAAAUUUUUAUAGGAGUUUUUAAAAACCACAUUCUCUAUUGUAGUCACUGCAUUGCUAUGUAGACUGUUAAAUCUUUAGAUAUAAAAAAUCUCGUCAAAACCCCUUGAUUUUGGUAUUUUUAAGAUUUUUAUUAUUAUUUUCGGAAUUAAUUGACUAAUUUCAUUAACUAUUAUGAACAAGUCAAUUAAUUAAGUCAAAUGAUUAAAAUUUUACCUUAUCAGAACCUUAUUAGAAACAUAACAUUUAUUAAAUGUCACUAUUCGAAAAAACGACAAUUAUUUUGUGAUGCUUAGGAAUAGUAACAUUUAAUAAAGUUUCCAUUUCUAAAUCCAGCUAGUAGAAGGAUGAAAGAGAUGGGAGCAGAGUUACAAAAGAUCCAUGAGAAGCUUGAACGUUUUACUUAUACACAAGGGUGAUCUGCGCCAUAUAGAAGUUACUGGUGGACGCAGACCAUUGUCAGAGAAAACAACUCCACUGGUUAAUGAAUCUAAUGUAUAUGGAAGGGACGCUGAUAAGGAAGCCAUAAUGGAGCACUUGUUGACACAACACACCACAGAUGGCUCAAAUUUACGUGCGGUCCCUAUUGUGGGCAUGGGCGGGAUUGGUAAAACCACUCUUGCUCUGCUUAUCUACAAAGACGAAAGGGUACAGCAACGCUUCCAACUCAAGGCCUGGGUCUGGGCUUCUCAACAAUUUGAUGUUGCCAGGAUUAUUAAGGAUAUUCUUGAUCAACGCAAGAACUUGCCGCACCAAAGAACCAGAUGAAUCUCUAAUGGAGGCAGCGAAAGGGAAAAAACUUCUUCUUGUUCUAGAUGACGCGUGGAACAUCGAGUACAAUGAAUGGGAUAAACUACUGCUACCUUUGCGGUAUGUGGAGCAAGGAAGUAAGAUUGUCGUGACAACACGGGAUCAAGAUGUAGCAAAAGUCACGCAAACUGUCAUCACCCCUCACUGCUUGAAAGGAAUAAGCGAUGAAUAUUGCUGGAAGUUGUUUGCAAGGGAUGCAUUUAGUGGUCUAAAUUCUGAAGCAGUCUCACACUUGGAAGCAUUUGGCAGAAAAAUAGUGAGAAAGUGCAAAUGUUUGCCGCUGGCAGCGAAAACUCUUGGUGGUCUUUUGCACUCCGUAGAAGAUGUCAAGCAAUGGGAGAAGAUAUCCAAUAGCAGUUUGUGGGGUUCGUCGAAUGAAAACAUCCCUCCAGCUUUAAAAUUGAGCUAUUAUUAUCUCCCUUCACACCUGAAACGUUGUUUUGCUUAUUGUGCAAUAUUUCUCAAAGGUUAUGUAUUCAAGAAGGAUGGAUUAAUCACUGAAUGGAUGGCACAUGGUUUUUUAUUCCAGCCAGAGGUGUUGAGGAGAUGGAAGAUAUAGGUGAAAAAUACUUUGAUGAUCUUGUCUCCAGGUCAUUUUUCCGGCAAUCACUUUAUGCUCCAUCAUAUUUCAGCAUGCAUGACAUCAUAAGUGAUUUAGUUGAAUACGUGUCAGGAGAAUUUUGCUUUAAGCUUGGUAUUAAUGAAUCGGGAUCUGGGUUGGAGGGUGAACAUUCAUGCUCGCUUCCAGAAAGGACUCGUUAUUUAUCAAUCACUUCAGCGGCAGUUCGGACAUUUCGUAGCAUUCAUGGAGUCCAACAUUUGCGCGCCUUGUUUCCACUAUAUAUUUUCGGGGAAGAUGAUAGUGAGGCACUGAAUGACAUCUGGCUAAAUCUUAAGCGCUUGCGAAGGCUAUCUUUAUGUCAUCUAAAAGAUAUUUCUUCUCAGUUGCUCAAUUCCAUUGGCAACUUAAAACAUUUGCGGCACUUGGACCUUUCUCGCACCGCCAUUAAAAGGUUACCUAAAAGUGUGUGCACUUUGUACUAUUUGCAAAGCUUAUUGUUAAAGAAGAGCCGACAUCUCAUGCAGUUGCCAUCCAACCUUUUCAACUUGGUCGCCUUACAACAUCUUGAUAUUGAGGGGACAAAUCUGAAAAAGAUGCCACCGAAAAUGGGGAAACUCACAAGGCUUCGAACUUUGCAAUAUUACGUAGUGGGAAAAGAGAGGGGGUCUAGCAUGAAAGAGCUGGGGAAGCUCUCACAUUUAAGGAAAAAACUUUCUAUUCGGAAUCUCAGAGAUGUUGCAAAUGCUCAAGAUGCUUUGGAUGCCAAUUUGAAGGGUAAGAAGAAGAUUGAGGAGUUGAGGUUGAUAUGGGAUGGCAAUACAGAUGACACCCAACAGGAGAGAGAAGUACUUGAGAAAUUGGAGCCUUCUGAAAUUGUGAAACAGCUUGCCAUUAAGGGUUACGGGGGUACAAUGUUUCCAGACUGGCUUGGAAACUCUUCUUUCUUAAAUAUGGUAGCGUUGACUCUUUCUGGAUGUAAGAACUGCAUCUCCUUACCACCAUUGGGGCAGCUGCCAUCUCUUGAAGAGCUCCAUAUUGAAGGAUUUGAUGAUGUCGUGGCAGUUAGUUCUGAGUUCUAUGGAAGCGACCCUUCGAUGGAGAAGCCAUUUAAAUCCCUCAAAAUAUUAAAGUUUGAGGGGAUGCGAAACUGGCAGGAAUGGAAAACAGAUGUAGCUGGUGCUUUCCCUCAUCUUGCAAAUCUCUUGAUAGCAGGUUGUCCCGAGUUAACAAAUGGCUUGCCUAAUUACCUUCCUUCUUUAUUGAUACUUGAGAUUCAAGCGUGUCCACAGCUUGUGGUUUCAAUUCCAGAGGCUCCCCUGCUCACCGAAAUCAAUGUAAAAGUCACUAAAACUUUCAUCCCCUCUCACCGCUGGAAUGCACUAAGCGAUGAAGAUUGCUAGCAGGUUCUUCUUGCAAGGUAUGCAUUUUAGGGAGAGGAUAUCCAAUAGCAGUAUGUUACUAAAAAAAUAUUUUUAAACUGUAUAUAUAUAUUUUUUAAAAUACACUAGGUAUAUUAAGUUUGUAAAGCAAUGGGAGGAGAUAUAUUAAGUUACUAAAACAAGGUGUUUAUCAUUUUGUUUGGUUGUCCAUAAGGUUUUGUUACGCAACUAUAUAAAAAUAAAAAUCAUAAUUUGUCGACAUUACGGCACAGAAUUGUGAAAUUCAUCCUCUCUUGCCAUCGAAACCUGAGAGUGUUUUGACUUUUGGAGUGGAGGGCAGAAAUAAAAUUGUAGUUAUAUUAAGUUAUAAAAAAAAUAGUUUUAAACUGUAUUUAAAAAAAAUACAUUAGGUAUAUUAAGUUACUAAAUUUUUUUAUUAAACUGUAUUUUUUUUUAAAAUACAUUAGGUAUAUUAAGUUUGUCAAGCAAUGAGAGAAGAUAUAUUAAGUUACUAAAAAAAUAUGUUUAUCACUUUAUUUUUAUUUCUCGUAAAAGUCGGUUACGCAAUCGAAUCGGGGAUGAUUGGUUGAAUGAUUGUUUGGUUACUUAUAUCGAAAAAAAUAUAUUUGAAAGUGUUGAUAAUGGAAAGAUUCUAUAACGUUUUCAGCAUAUGAAGUCUUGCAGGGAUUUCACGGAGCAUCUUUUUAUAAUAUAUGUGAAUUUUUAAAUUUUAUAUUAGAAGCUUAAAAUUUUUAGAUUUUUUAGAUCUUAAUUAAUUUAGUUAUAUUAUUUUGCUAUCUAUGAAAACUCGAUCUGGAUCCGUCCUUUAUCAAAUGAAGUAUAUAUCAUGUUGAAACCGGUAAUGAGUUUCGAUUGAUAGAAGAAUCAGGAAAAAAAAAUUAAAAUAGAUGUGCUUUGAGAGUGAUAAAAUAAUUUCAAGGAAUCAUAGUAAAAUAACUUAUAUGGUUCUAGCAAUAUUGAAAAAGAAAAUUUGGAUUUAGACAUAAAAUUAUAUAUUGACUAGUUUUACGCUAUUGAGCAUGACUCUCAAUUCGAUCUUUCGAUUGAGUUGAAAGUCCACAAGAAGACUUCUGAUAUAUUGCUCUAUCUUGGGUUAAAAGUUUAGGGUAGGCCAUCAUAGAAUAUCAACAGUCGAACUAAAAAUAACAUGUAGAUUCAUUAAUGAUAUUUUCAUAAAUAAGCUAGAAAAACUAAAAAUUUAGUUUCUUCUUCCCCUCUAAACUACCGGCUAGUGCUAAAACAACUAUAAUAGAAAAAACAAAUUGAGAGCUUACUCAUUGGAACCCUUGAAUCAAGAUUUAAGGCAAGAUAGGUGAGGGAAUAAAUAUUAAACACAUCUCGACUAAGUGCCAUCCUAUAAAUUUGUUUUCAAUUUGCAUUUGAUGAAAAAUAUACAAGGAAUCAUAAAUGAAUUAACUUAAGCAUUGCGAAGGAAAUAUCAAGAUAUCAUAAAUGUGUUGACAAGUUAAAAAGUUUUGAAACAACAAAUUUAAAUGAUAAGGGAUGAAGGAUGAAAAUAUUUAGUUGAUGAGAUUUUUUUUUGGUGUGAAAGACAUAGCAUUGAUAUUUCAAAAAUAAAUGAUGUGUUUGUCAUUUGCAGCCGAUCAAGGUGUAAUACCCAACAAUUAAUAAACUUGUAUCAUUAACAGGCCGAGCUGUUCUAUACAACAAUUGACAUGCAACUUCACGAGCUUAACAAUUGUUUUAUCAAGAUACACAUGGAGUUGCUUCCUUGCAUUGCAUGUUUGAAACUCAAUCUCUAUAAUAUUAUAAAUAGGUUAGCAUUGCAAUAACAAAAAAAAAAUAUGAUAACCAUGACAAUAAUAAUAAUAAUAAUAUGAAUAUGUAUAUUUUUAUUAGUUGAUGGAUCAAUUUGAAAGCAUCAAAGUACUUUUUUGUAAAAAUAAACUAAUAAAUGGUACACCCGAGGCAAAAUUAUAGCCAAUAUAGCUUGUUGGCCAAGGGAAAGUGUCACGGGGGUAUUUUUCGCUACGCGAAUAAACCCGUGCGGCAGCCUAGUCCUUCGCUAGACUCAGCCUUCCCUCACCAAUCUCACUCGUGUUUGCCUAAUAACUAAGCAAGCGGAAUACACAAGCAAGGAUAAGAAUCAUAGUGCACAACAAGCUUUACAGGAACUCUUUCCCAACCUUUAUUAAUCUCAUACACAAAGGAAACUAUACACAAAUCCGUAUGUGUGCUAUGCACAAAGAUUACAUGCUACACUAAGCUACCUCUAACUAGUGUUCUACACAUGUUCUUGCAUGCCCCUACAUGCUGGACAUUCCCAACCGAAUGCCCUUACAAUCUGAACAUUCCCACCUGAAUGCUCUCCCACAACCAAGAGCUACAUCUUGUAUUUAUAGACAAGCAAAGGAGCUGCAAAGGCUCCUCCCCAUUAUCCCCCAUUUUCAGGACCUAGUGGAGCACUACCUCUCUCCCAUGAUCCCAUGUUUUCAGGACAUGGUGGAGCACUACCUCUCACCCAUGAUCCCAUGUUCUGCCUCCCAUGAAGCUGCCACUCUCCUUAUUUUCUGGCUGUCUACUUGGCAGCCCCAGCUGCCAGCUUCUGCUGCGUCAGCUGCUGACUUAGAAGGUCCAUCAUCUAAGCCCCCACGUCCAUGUCAAGUCGCAAGCUCAAAGACUCGCAUAGACCAUUGCAUGCUGCCUGCCGAAUUCAUCUCUGCCUAUGCAAGGCUGCCGCGAUCCAUCGCUGCCGAAUUCUAAGCAGAGUGCCUUCGUUGGCGCGUCCCAGCGCCUAGAGCUCUUAGCCCAUGCCUUGGACAGUCCUUCGCCCAAGUUUUAGAUCGUGCCAAGUCGAGCCCCUGACUUGCACAAGUUUGCUGCGCGCUGCCGAGUCCGCAUCUGCAGGCAAGCUGCCAAUGCGCUGCCGAAUUCGCAUAUGCGUGCUGCCAAUCUCUGCGCUGCCGAAUUCGCAUCUGCGUGCAGGCUGCCCCUGUCUACGCUGCCGAAUUCUGCGAUAGUCCCAAUUCUCGUCAGCCUAUCCUCCUGACGAGGCUUGGACAGUCCCUCGUCCAGCCCAUGUUCGUCAACAAUCUGCGCUGCCGAUUUUCCCUUUGACGAACCUACAGCCGCAUAAAUCUGCGCUGACGAUUUCUCCCACUGAUGGCAUGGCUGCCAGCACCCUUCGGCCUUGUUUUGGCCAGCCUGCCGAAGCGUGCACCUCGUGCACAUUUGACACUGUGACAGAAAGAGUCUUUUCGUUUGUAGUUUUGGAGUAGCAAAUAAUGGCUUAUGAUAAGCAAACGUUGAUUCAUCUUGCUUAAUUCUAUCUAUCUAUUUUCUUCAUAGUUGAGCUUGCAGCACUUAUAAUCAACUGGAAACUUAUAUUCUUGACAUGAGAUCCUGUGAAGAAUUUCCAAAGCUAAAAGAAAUCAAUUAUUCUGCUAAAAAAUUGGUAAAGACAAACUAUUUCAUUAGAAAAUAAAAUAUUUUCAGCGAUGAAAUUGAUUAAAAAUUGAUUACGCAAUCGAAUCAGAGAUGAUUAAUUAAAUGAUUGUUUGAUUAUGAUUACUUAUAUCGAAAAAGAUAUAUUGAGAAGUGAUAAUAAUAAGAAAAUCCUAUAUUUCAACAUAUAAAAUCUUGCAAGGAACAAUUAUAAAUUAUAUAAAAAAGAAUUUCAUGAAUCAUCUUUAUAUAUAUAUAUAUUACAAAUUUAUAAUUUUAAGAUUUUUUAAAUCUUAAUUAAUUUAAUUAUAUACUUAUAUUAUUUUAUACGUUAAAACUGGAGUCCAUCCUUCAUCUUAAUGGCAUAGAUGAAAUAUCUUAUUUAUGCCCAUUUGAAGAUAAUUAAUCCAGACUUAAUCCACUUGAUGAUGCCUUAAUCAUGCUGAUAAAAAAAGAUUAAUACAUUAAGCACAAGUGUUGAUAUAAUCAGUGGCAGAGCCCCGGGGCUGGCAGGACCCGGCCUUGUAAGAAAAUGUUCUUGUCAAUAUUUUUUUAAUAAUAUUUAUAGUUUCAGCUCAAAUAAUAAAAUAACUGAAAUCUUUGCCUUCUAAAAUAUUUUUUUUAAUUUUAUUUUGUGACCCAGCCCUAAAUAUAAUAUAAAUAAUUUAAUAUUGUUAGGAAGUUUUAAACCGGCUUCCAUGAAUUUAAUAUUGCCUAUCAUUUCAGCGUGUCCCGAGGUGAAAACAUUUGGCCUUUUUUUUUAAUUACUGAAAACUUAACAUGUCAUGUGCUAAAUUCUUUUUUUUAUUAUUUACGUGGGGUGUCCGGGCCAGCUUACGCGCACCACGACUAUUCCCCACAGCCCGCUGGACAUCCUGCAAGCCCAGGAGCAGGUAAGGCACCGCGGAGGUGACAGGCGUGCACAUAGAGGGUCGAACCCGGGACGGGAGCGGAACAAGUCACACGAUUGACCACAACAGCUAGACCCUCAAGUGCAUCAUGUGCUAAAUUCUUGAAGAACCCAGUGAAUGCCAAAAUUAAAGAUUCAUUUUGAAAAUUAAUUUGAAAUAAAAAUGAAAAAAUAUAAUUUUUUUUCAAAAAUACUUUUACAUCCAGAAACAAAAAUGACCUUAUGUAAGGGACAUGCACGUAUCCACUUAGAUAUAAAACCCCAGCCAAGAAACCAAAGAAGAGAAGUAGAGAACGGUAGCUCAGGGGAGCGUUUGGCAUGGAAAAAUGAAAGGGCACGGUCGUAUAUAUUCUUUGGAUUUCCACAUUGGUAAUAUAUACAUGAAUUUGUUUUUAUAUUAAGAAUUAUGUUUUAUGAUUGUUUUAAAUAAAAUUUGCUUUAAAUUAAUAUUGUUUUAGUAUUGUUAAAUUAUUUUAAUGUAAUAAUAUAAAAAAUAAUUUUUUAUUUUUUUAAAUAAAAAAUAAUUAUUACCAUACUCACCAUCAAAACUUAACAAGUACGGUAGGUAUGCAUCAAAGAAAAACCAAAGGACGGUAGGUAUGCAUCAAUGCCAUAAAUAGAGUUUGUCUUGUUCAGAAGACUUUGAAAGUGGCUUCGUUGACUCUGCAGACACGAAGAAUAGUCAAAAGUCCUAAAAUUAACUCAUCUUUGCUAUCCACGGCGGCGCAUCAUUAGUGGGUUUGGAAAUUAACAUGGUGCUUCCGAUGAGCCAAGCUAUGUGUUCACAGUGAUUAAUUCGAAUGUGUAAGCAAUAUCGUUGCUAUCACCAUUUGCUUUGAAGGGCUAUUUAAAAAUAUAAUAGUAGUUAUUUCUUUAAAAUAUAUAUUAAAUAUAUAUAUUUUUUUAUUUUUUAAAAAUUAUUUUUGAUAUUAAUACAUCAAAUCAAAACAAAACAAAAAAUAUAAAAAAAUUAAUAUAAAAAAUUUAAUUUUAAAAAAACAUGAUUUUAAAUGCGAUCCCAUACAAUAGAUUAGAUAGAAAAAAAAAGGAAACUGGAAAAAAAACAUUAAUUAAAAUGAUAAAUAGAUAUAAAUAAAUUAUUUUUUCUUCAAAUUAGAAUCGUUAUUUUCUAUACACUAUUGUCGCUAAAAUUAUAAAAUCAUUUUAUAAUUUAUAAUCAUUUUCUAUAUAUUAUUGUUGCUUUUUUUCAUAUAUAUAUAUAUAUAUAAUCCUCACUAUGAAAUUCUGAAAGAGAGAACGGCGGCUAAAAGCAACAACAUUUUAGCUAGAUAAAUAAAGUUUAAUGACUUGAUAUGUUCUUAUAUUAUAAAAUAUUUCUUUGAUCUAUUUCUAUAUAUCUAAUUAAGUUAAUUUUAUUCUUUAAUAUAUAUUAAAUUUAUAAUUUAUCAUUCUUCUCAUGUAAACUCACUCCAAUUUGUCAUGUGUCUGUUACAUGCAAAACUAGAAGAUUAUAUUUAAAAUUUAACAUAUAUUUUAAAUAAAAUUGACUUAAAUAAAGAUAUAAUAGGUCAAUGAUAGAUAAAUAGCCCACUAUCGAAGGAUAUACUACGUUACUAAAAAAAAACCUGUUUAUCAAUUUGUGUGGUUGUCCACUAGGUUUUGUUCUCUCCAUUGAUAUUAAUUAUCAUCAGUAUCUGAAUGGCAUAGCAUAGGUUAAAAACUUAUUAUUAAUAUUUUAUGGAUGUACACAAGAAGAUAAUUAAUCCAUAAUAAUUUUUACGGUUUAACUGUCUAUAUAUUUUUAAAUUUUAUUAUUCGAUUAACAAAUUUAUUUAUACAUACCGCUUCCACGAGUUUUCUUGUCUCUUCCUUUCCUUUAAAGUCCCCGAAUUCCCAUCAUGGCUUAUUAGCUUUCUACUACUAUCAUUCUCUCUCUCACCCUUUCGCAAAAAUCGACAACUUCAUGACUCAGAAAUCUUGACCCCAUCUCCUAACAAUUCAUAGACAGGUAGGGUUCAGCAUUGCACCAUUCUUUUCAAGAACUGGUGGGAUGUCACAGAUUUCAAAUAGAUGGUAGGAAUGGACCUCUCGAUGAUAAGUAGGGCCCAAAUUGCCGCCCAAAGGCCAUUGUAGAUUCACGUUCAGAGAACAUCAGAUGCGAUGCUUAGCCGACAGUAGAGAAGAAUGAUUACUUCUGAAGAGAAUAUCAUUACAAAAUGAUCCCCGGCAAACAGUCAGGGAUGCCAGCACGGCCGGCUUACAUUGUUAAGCUUGUAACAAUCUAUAAUCAACUCGAAACUUAUAUUCUUAACCUGAGAUCUUGUGAAGAAUUUCCAAAGAUAAAAAGGAAUCAAUGAUCUUGCUCAGAAAUUAGUGGAGGCCAAGAAGGUUGUGGUUAGUAAUUUUACCUCGUGUGAAUAUAAUAUAAAUAAUUUAAUAUUGUUAGGAAGUUUAAAACCGGCUUCCAUGAAUCUUCUUGUCUUUUCUUUUCCUUUAAAAGUCUAUAUGGUUGUUCUCUUAAUGCAAUUCAUUGGAUUCUGCUUUCUACGGCCUUCUCUCUCACACCGUCCGCGAAGAUCCACCAUGGCUUCUGCUAUUGUCCUUUUUUUUUCUCUCCCGUCCUUUUGAUACUGUCGUCCUUCCGCAAAAAUCCACCAUGGCUCUGGGGUUGAGUAGAGGUUAAUUAUCUGUGCUGUCAUUGAGGUUUUGGUCGACAGGCUGUCCUCUCCUGAGGUUCUAGGCUUUUUCAAAAGACAAGCUCAAUCAAUGGAAAAGUUGAAGUUAAACAUUAAAUUAUUCUCCUUUUUUAUUUUUUUUCACAAGUAUUUAACCGUUCAAUUUGUAAGAACAUCAGUCUUUUUUAUAAGCCAACAAUUACACUUUUUAAAUUUGCUAUUAUAAUAAUUAUUUAUUUAUGUGAUAAUUUCACCAAUGUUUUUUUGGCCUUGUACCAAAUACCUUCUAAGAGUAAUACCAGAUGAAAUUUUUUAAAAUAUUUUUGAACCUCAUAGUUUCAUAUAUCUAUAUUUUAACCGUUAACUUCAUUUCUCACACGUUUCACUCUUUGACUAUUGAGUUUUGAUCCUUGCAAUUCUCAUAAAAGUACAUUUUGGUUCCUUAAGUUUUUAUUUUUAUUUUUGAUCCUUAUAAUUUCAGGUAUUUAUAUUUAAUUCUAAAAUUUUAUUUUCCUUACAUUUCAAUUCCUUUAUGUUGCGAUUAUAGAGAGAAAGUCGCUAGAAAAAAGAGAGGAAAGAGAAGUAUUUUGGUGAGUUGUAUUUCAAGAACAAAAAAUGUUGAUUUUGGAGAGUUGUAUUUUGAAUGAAACAGACCCAACCAAGGCCCCGAGUUACCCGGGUCCUGGGUUGACCCGUCAAGCGGGGCUGAGUUUGAUAACUAUGAUAACAACCAUGUCAGACCCAAGAUGUUAGGUAUAUCCUUGGAUCUAACGGCCAUAUCAGACCCAAUAGCCUUGGAUCUUACAUGACUACCAGACCUAGGGUCUGGUGAUUGGGUCUCGCAAUCAUGCCAGACCCCAACAUCUUGGACCUGGCUGCCAUGACUAAACUGAAAAAAAAAAAACAAAAUUUUGCAUAGUAACAAAUACAUAGUGAAAAUCCAACGUAUUUUAGUAUAUAAGUAAUAAAUUUAAUAAUUAACAUAUAAUGCAUGAUAAAAUUAGCAUUAAUUUUACCAGUGGCUACUGCAACAAUAAAGAAAAUAUUUUUAGCAUUCAAAUUGGUUAAAAAUCGAUUACAUGAUCAAAUUAGGGGUGAUUUGUUGAAUGAUUGUGUGGUUACUUAUAUCAAUAAAGAUAUAUUUAAAAGUGUUGAUAAUGAAAAGAUCCUACAAUGUUUUCACUAUAUGAAGUCUUGCAAUGAGCGAUUGUGAAUUUUAUAUAUAUAUAUAUAUGCAAUAUAUAUAUAUAUAUAUAUAUAUAUAUAUAUAUAUAGAAUUUUAUGAAAUAUCUUUUUAUAAUAUAUGUAAAUUUUUUAACUUUAUAUUAAAAAAUUAUAAUUUUUGGAUUUUUUAGAUCUUAAUUAAUUAAUGGAAAAGUUGAAGUUAAUUAUUAAAUUAUUCUCUCUUUUUUUCACAACUAUUUAACUAUUUAAUUUGUAAAUACAUCAGUCAUUUUAAAAAACCAACAUUUACACUUUUUAAAUUUGCUCUUAUAAUAAUAAUAAUUAUUUAUGUGAUAAUUUCAACCAUAUUUUUAAGCCUUAUACCAAAUACCUUCUAAGAGUAAUACCAAAUGAAGUUUUUUUUAACAAAACAUAUUUUUGAACCUAGUAGUUUUAUGUGUUUACAUUUUAACCGUAAACUUCAUUUCCCACUCGUUUCACUAUCUGAAUAUUGAGUUUUGGUCCUUGAAAUUCUCAUAAAAGUUCAUUUGGGUUCCUAAAAUUUUUUCUUUUAUCCUCGUAGUUUUAGCUAUUUAUUUAAUUCUAAAACUUUAUUUUCCUCACAUUUUAAUUCCUUGAUGUUACGAGUAUAAAGAGAAAGUCGUUAGAUAAAAAGAAAAGUAUUUUGGUGAGUUGUAUUUCAAGAACAAAAAAUACUGAUCUUAGUGUCCAUAAAUUUUUCUUUAAACACAUAACAAAAAAAAUUAAUAUUUUUUAAAAGUGGCCCUAAACAAAAUAAAAAAGAGGAGGUUUUAUCUAUUUUUUUGGUUUUUUAACCAGUCACAUUACUUUAUUUCUUUUCAAUUGCAUUCUUUAAAGCUAUAUUUUCAUGGCAACCAUAGCUAUCAAACCCAGCCUAGGAGUUAACCCGACUAAUGGGCUAAGUCCUGGUUUACACGAGUUGACUCGGGUCAACCAAGAAAAAUUUUAAAAAAAUAUUUGAGAUUUUAAUAUUUUAUAUGAAAAAAUAAGAAAUAAUCCAUAUGGAUAUAUGCUAUACAUGUUGUAAACAAUUAAAUUUAAAAGAUUAUUUCAAAAUGUUUUUUAUUCCACAUUGAAAAGAUACUAUCUUAUUCUUUUAAGUUAAAGUAUUUAAAUAAAAAAGGUUUUCUAUCCUACAUUGAAUAACCAUUAACUUUUUUAUUGUGAAUAUAGAAUAAAUAUAUAGACACAUACACACACUAAAAGACUUCAAAUUUUACAUUACAAAAAUAAAAUAUUUUUCUAAUAUUUAUAUACUGAACUUGAAAUGAGUUAGAAAAAAACUGAAAAUAUAUAAAAAAAAUCUCUAAAUAAAAGAAAAACACAUUUAAUAAAAACAGAAUCUCUAUCAAGUUUUUAUUGGGCCACCCGAGUUCCAGGUUUACCCAACAUGUUAACCAGUUUACUCCAGGCCACUUACACGUCCAAAUAUUGAAUGAAACAGACCACCAAGGCUUAUCAUUCUCUCUCACAUAAUCACUCUAUCACCCUUUCGCAAAAAUCCACCAAGGCUCCUGCUUUCCACUACUCCUUUUCUCUCACAUAUUCCGACCCUCACCCCUUCUGCAAAAAUCCACCAUGGCUCUGGAGUUGAUCGGAGGAUCAAUUCUCUCUGCUCUCGUUGAGGUACUGGUCGACAGGUUGGCCUCUCGUGAGGUUCUGGACUCCUUCAAAAGCCACAAACUCGAUGAUGGUCUUCUGGAAAAGCUGAAUGAAACACUGAAUACUGUCAACGGACUACUCGACGAUGCGGAGGAGAAGCAGAUUACAAAGCGUGCUGUGAAGAACUGGCUUAAUGAUGUUAAACACGCUGUGUAUGAAGCUGAGGACAUAUUGGAUGAGAUUAAUUAUGAAUAUCUACGAUCCAAGGACAUUGAUACCCC
Molecule: long non-coding RNA, 39275 nt
Filed under: Populus trichocarpa (black cottonwood)
Lineage: Eukaryota; Viridiplantae; Streptophyta; Magnoliopsida; Malpighiales; Salicaceae
Description: long non-coding RNA (PTRI_LNC003736)
Rfam family: MIR478 microRNA precursor family (bases 5289-5379)
Source: RNAcentral